This 465-nucleotide ribosomal RNA is filed under the name uncultured bacterium. RNAcentral describes it as "partial 16S ribosomal RNA". It matches the Rfam family "Bacterial small subunit ribosomal RNA", at positions 28 to 507 of the family's 1533-position model. The record is from RNAcentral.
GAUGAACGCUGGCGGCGUGCUUAACACAUGCAAGUCGAACGGAAAGGCUCCUGCUUGCAGGGGUACUCGAGUGGCGAACGGGUGAGUAACACGUGGGUGAUCUGCCCUGCACUUCGGGAUAAGCCUGGGAAACUGGGUCUAAUACCGGAUAGGACCACAUUUUGGAUGGUGUGGUGGAAAGUUUUUCGGUGUGGGAUGAGCUCGCGGCCUAUCAGCUUGUUGGUGGGGUAAUGGCCUACCAAGGCGUCGACGGGUAGCCGGCCUGAGAGGGGGUACGGCCACAUUGGGACUGAGAUACGGCCCAGACUCCUACGGGAGGCAGCAGUGGGGAAUAUUGCACAAUGGGCGCAAGCCUGAUGCAGCGACGCCGCGUGGGGGAUGACGGCCUUCGGGUUGUAAACUCCUUUCGCUAGGGACGAAGCGCAAGUGACGGUACCUGGAGAAGAAGCACCGGCUAACUACGUG